RNAcentral lists this transfer RNA (86 nucleotides) under Rubrivivax sp. RNAcentral describes it as "tRNA-Tyr". It matches the Rfam family "tRNA". From Rfam's summary of the family: Transfer RNA (tRNA) molecules are approximately 80 nucleotides in length. Their secondary structure includes four short double-helical elements and three loops (D, anti-codon, and T loops). Further hydrogen bonds mediate the characteristic L-shaped molecular structure. tRNAs have two regions of fundamental functional importance: the anti-codon, which is responsible for specific mRNA codon recognition, and the 3' end, to which the tRNAs corresponding amino acid is attached (by aminoacyl-tRNA synthetases). tRNAs cope with the degeneracy of the genetic code in two manners: having more than one tRNA (with a specific anti-codon) for a particular amino acid; and 'wobble' base-pairing, i.e. permitting non-standard base-pairing at the 3rd anti-codon position. Lineage: Bacteria; Pseudomonadati; Pseudomonadota; Betaproteobacteria; Burkholderiales; Sphaerotilaceae. The record is from RNAcentral.
GGAGGGGUGCCCGAGUGGCUAAAGGGGGCAGACUGUAAAUCUGUUGGCUUAUGCCUACGCUGGUUCGAAUCCAGCCUCCUCCACCA